This 240-nucleotide ribosomal RNA is filed under the name uncultured bacterium. Its description in RNAcentral is "partial 16S ribosomal RNA". It matches the Rfam family "Bacterial small subunit ribosomal RNA", at positions 333 to 565 of the family's 1533-position model. The record is from RNAcentral.
ACACUCCUACGGGGGGCAGCAGUAGGGAAUCUUCCACAAUGGGCGCAAGCCUGAUGGAGCAACACCGCGUGAGUGAAGAAGGGUUUCGGCUCGUAAAGCUCUGUUGUUGGAGAAGAACGUGCGUGAGAGUAACUGUUCACGCAGUGACGGUAUCCAACCAGAAAGUCACGGCUAACUACGUGCCAGCAGCCGGGGUAAUACGUAGGUGGCAAGCGUUAUCCGGAUUUAUUGGGGGUAAAG